GAUGAAGAACGCAGCGAAAUGCGAUACUUGGUGUGAAUUGCAGAAUCCCGUGAACCAUCGAGUCUUUGAACGCAAGUUGCGCCCGAAGCCAUUAGGCCGAGGGCACGCCUGCCUGGGCGUCACACGUUGUUGCCCCCCCAUCUACUCCUUCGGGAUUGCGGGGGGCGGAUGAUGGCCUCCCGUGCGCCUCGUCGCGCGGUUGGCAUAAAUGCCAAGUCCUCGGCGACGCACGCCACGACAAUCGGUGGUUGCGAAACCUCGGUUGCCCGUCGUGUGCGGUCGUCGCGCAUCGAGGGCUCGAAAAAAUUGUCGGGCUCCGGCUCGGCUUUCAACGCGACCCCAGGUCAGGCGGGGUUACCCGCUGAAUUUAAGCAUAUCAAUAAGCGGAGGA
This 391-nucleotide unclassified non-coding RNA is filed under the name soil metagenome. RNAcentral's name for it is "partial contains 5.8S ribosomal RNA, internal transcribed spacer 2, and large subunit ribosomal RNA". The stretch from base 1 to 122 matches the Rfam family "5.8S ribosomal RNA", at positions 35 to 154 of the family's 154-position model. The record is from RNAcentral.